CCUACGGGCGGCAGCAGUGGGGAAUAUUGGACAAUGGGCGAAAGCCUGAUCCAGCCAUGCCGCGUGUGUGAAGAAGGCCUUCGGGUUGUAAAGCACUUUCAGUGGGGAAGAAAGCCUUGGGGCUAAUACCCUCGAGGAAGGACAUCACCCACAGAAGAAGCACCGGCUAACAUCCGUGCCAGCAGCCGCGGUAAUACGGAGGGUGCGAGCGUUAAUCGGAAUUACUGGGCGUAAAGCGCGCGUAGGCGGUCUGAUAAGCCGGUUGUGAAAGCCCCGGGCUCAACCUGGGAACGGCAUCCGGAACUGUCAGGCUAGAGUGCAUGAGAGGAAGGUAGAAUUCCCGGUGUAGCGGUGAAAUGCGUAGAGAUCGGGAGGAAUACCAGUGGCGAAGGCGGCCUUCUGGACUGACACUGACGCUGAGGUGCGAAAGCGUGGGUAGCAAACAGGAUUAGAUACCCCUGUAGUC
RNAcentral lists this ribosomal RNA (466 nucleotides) under Vreelandella stevensii. RNAcentral's name for it is "partial 16S ribosomal RNA". It matches the Rfam family "Bacterial small subunit ribosomal RNA", at positions 338 to 795 of the family's 1533-position model. The record is from RNAcentral. Lineage: Bacteria; Pseudomonadati; Pseudomonadota; Gammaproteobacteria; Oceanospirillales; Halomonadaceae.